Molecule: ribosomal RNA, 301 nt
Filed under: uncultured bacterium
Lineage: Bacteria
Description: partial 16S ribosomal RNA
Rfam family: Bacterial small subunit ribosomal RNA
Source: RNAcentral
CAGUCGCCACGGUAAUACGAAGGGUGCAAGCGUUAAUCGGAAUUACUGGGCGUAAAGGGCGUGUAGGCGGCCUGGGGCGUCCCAUGUGAAAGGCCACGGCUCAACCGUGGAGGAGCGUGGGAUACGCUCAGGCUAGAGGGUGGGAGAGGGGGGUAGAAUCCCACGUGUAGCAGUGAAAUGCGUAGAUAUGUGGAGGAACACCGAUGGCGAAGGCAGCCCCCUGGGCUAAGAUUGACGCUCAUGCACGAAAGCGUGGGGAGCAAACAGGAUUAGAUACCCGCGUAGUCCCUGUCUCUUAUAC